CCUCCGAUUUCGAUCUGUCAAAAAUAAGUCUACUCCAGAGGAGACUUAUUUUUGACAGAUCGUGAAUCAUUCGCAUCCAGUGGAACAUCGCUAGAUUGUUAUCAUCAAGUUAAUCUGAUUGGCAUUACAUACGGGCAUUACGUUUUGAGGACUGAAUUUUUCUAUUUAAAAUGGAACCACAAAAUAAGAAAAUGAGCCGAAAAGCAUUGCAGUGCAGACGAUAGGUUUAGCAAGCGGCAUUUGCUCGGACUUCAUUAUGAAAUCUGUCGCUCAAACCUCACGUUAUCGGCCGAGAUGAUCCCGCAGAGCAUUUUUUAACUUUUCGAGUGAGCGAUGGUUGCUGACGAGAGUGGUUAAAAGAGGAAACUGCAUAAGGCUGAGUUUCCCGAGGAGUUGCUUCAAACAGAAAUCUCGAAAAGCACUAUUACCACACCACCAAACGAAGAAAAAAGCAGUUUCGGCCGAGUCAGGAGCAAACAAUUGCGCAUAAACCAUGCUCAGCACGUUGUGGGUGGAUCUACUUUGUUUGAGGCAGAUAUUCCACAGAUAGUGCGAAUUCCACCGUUCAGGAAAAUAUGUAGGGGGUCAUCGAAAGCUCUUCUCGCUAUAAAGAAGCCUGUUUUCUUUUUAAAAGAAAAGGAACAGAAAAGAAUGAUCAAUAGGGAAAUCGUUUCCAUUCGUAAAACCAAAUUUACCAACGUUGAAACUCAAAACGAAAGCAGUGGGUUCUGGCGUUACGGUUUAACGGUGACAUAGCUUGUUUCUCAACUCAUUAUUCUCUGGAAACAUCUACAACUAUUAACUAAGAACUGUAUUUGCCAAUUGAUCAUUGUAUCAUAUGUCGAAUGCCAAUCACAGGACUGGUAGCAAGUCUCUUUUAAGAGAUUGAAUAUUUUAAUACGAGUUUCCAUAAAGUUUCUAUUAUCAAUCGUAGAUCUUCAAAAUUUCUUUGCAGUCAAAAUAGUCUCUAAAGUCAUAUGCUUCUUCUUUCCCCUUGCAUUCAAUCUUGGUGCAUGAUUCAAGAGACUCCAGAAUCCUUCAGAAGCUCUUACGUGCCUGUACCACAGUUUCACCAGGAAUUCAUUAUCAGGUUUGUCAAGAAAAAGCUUUGGGAACUAUUCUUGUGAUUUCUCCAAUGAUUUCUUCUGAAAUCAUUUCGUAAACUUUUUAGUGCAUCCCUCGAAACACUACUCUAGAUUCCUCAUCAAUUUUCCCAGGAAUUUGGCCAGAGUUUUUUUUUUUUGUUUUCAAAGUAUGCUUAGAGAAAGUGUUCUCCAGUAAUUUCCACAGGGGCCAUUCUGAAAAAUUUCCCGGUAUUUCCCAAUUGUCUCCAGCACACUCGAUUUCUCCUAGAUAUGUUUCCAUUAGAAAUUUGAUUAAGCAAUUUUCCAAAGAAAUUCAACAAUUCUUCCAGGAGUUACUACCCCGAUUUUGGCAGUUAUUCUCCCUAGAAUCGGCCCAAAAGUUCCUCCAUAAAUCAUUUCAGUAAACCUAUUAAGAACUCUGCUAGUAAAUCAUAAUAAAAAGAUGUGAAGUCCUUAUUAAUCCCUUUACUAGCAGCAUAUUUUUUUCUACAAUAAAAAUAUUUAAAUCGCGAUGACUUUUUUGUUUUUUGAUACACUAGCACCACUUUUUCAUUGACCCAAUCAAAUUUUCAUACGUAUCUCUUAUAUUGUACGAAUACCAUCAAAUCAGGCCUGACCUCUUUCAACCGCAGGUGAAAUUUCUGAACCAUUUUUGUGUGUGGCGGACCAUACUAUUUGAUAUACAAAUAUUCGUAUGAAAUCUCGCAAAAAUCAGAAAAUGAAGGAAAUAAUUUAAGAAAAAAAUGAAAACAUACAAUUGCUGCUCAGCAUCAUGCUAGAUAUUGUGAUAGUCUUUUUUGAAAUUAUGCGAUAAUCUUGCCCAGAUUAUUUUUUAAAAACCUAAGUCAGAUUUAAGAGUAGAACAGCUGGAGACAUUAAAAUACUAAUGGACAAUAAUUUAAAUUUAGCUGUGAAAAAAA
This 2005-nucleotide long non-coding RNA is filed under the name Aedes aegypti (yellow fever mosquito). RNAcentral's name for it is "lncRNA AAEL023226". The record is from RNAcentral. Lineage: Eukaryota; Metazoa; Arthropoda; Insecta; Diptera; Culicidae.